UACGGGGGGGGUAAGCGUUGUUCGGAAUUACUGGGCGUAAAGGGCUCGUAGGCGGCCAACUAAGUCAGACGUGAAAUCCCCAGGCUUAACCUGGGAACUGCGUCGGAUACUGGAUGGCUUGAAUUCGGGAGAGGGAUGCAGAAUUCCAGGUGUAGCGGUGAAAUGCGUAGAUAUCUGGAGGAAUACCGGUGGCGAAGGCGGCAUCCUGGACCGGUAUUGACGCUGAGGCGCGAAAGCCAGGGGAGCAAACGGG
RNAcentral lists this ribosomal RNA (253 nucleotides) under uncultured bacterium. RNAcentral's name for it is "partial 16S ribosomal RNA". It matches the Rfam family "Bacterial small subunit ribosomal RNA", at positions 524 to 776 of the family's 1533-position model. The record is from RNAcentral.